Molecule: ribosomal RNA, 615 nt
Filed under: uncultured Lachnospiraceae bacterium
Lineage: Bacteria; Bacillati; Bacillota; Clostridia; Lachnospirales; Lachnospiraceae
Description: bacterial SSU rRNA
Rfam family: Bacterial small subunit ribosomal RNA
Source: RNAcentral
GUGACUGAGUGGCGGACGGGUGAGUAACGCGUGGGUAACCUGCCUCAUACAGGGGGAUAACAGUUAGAAAUGACUGCUAAUACCGCAUAAGACCACAGCACCGCAUGGUGCAGGGGUAAAAACUCCGGUGGUAUGAGAUGGACCCGCGUCUGAUUAGGUAGUUGGUGGGGUAACGGCCUACCAAGCCGACGAUCAGUAGCCGACCUGAGAGGGUGACCGGCCACAUUGGGACUGAGACACGGCCCAGACUCCUACGGGAGGCAGCAGUGGGGAAUAUUGCACAAUGGGGGAAACCCUGAUGCAGCGACGCCGCGUGAAGGAAGAAGUAUCUCGGUAUGUAAACUUCUAUCAGCAGGGAAGAAAAUGACGGUACCUGACUAAGAAGCCCCGGCUAACUACGUGCCAGCAGCCGCGGUAAUACGUAGGGGGCAAGCGUUAUCCGGAUUUACUGGGUGUAAAGGGAGCGUAGACGGAUGGACAAGUCUGAUGUGAAAGGCUGGGGCUCAACCCCGGGACUGCAUUGGAAACUGCCCGUCUUGAGUGCCGGAGAGGUAAGCGGAAUUCCUAGUGUAGCGGUGAAAUGCGUAGAUAUUAGGAGGAACACCAGUGGCGAAG